UAAAGUAAUUAGCCUCCAAUUAAAAUGAAUAAAUUUAUAUUAAAAAUAAUUAUUCUCCAGUACACACACAAAAAAGCAAAUUCUUGCCACCCUUUUGGGCUGAGGCUCAGAAUACAGUCUGCACAUUUAGUGACUAGCUCACAGUUUGGAUGGAUACAACUUUCUGCUUGUUAAAAGUAAAGUUAAAUAUGAUUUCUCUUUUAAAGUUAUCUUUUGAUUUUUCAAUUACAUAAGUAUUGAACAUACACAAGUACAUAUUGAAAGUAAAAAGCUAUCUGCUCCUCCUAUACUAACAUCAAAUAUUCCACCAACUAAUACUUUAUGAAUGGACUACCAAAGCAUAUGGCUAUGAAGCUAAUACAUGGUUAAAUGAAUGGUCAUUCUCAAGUUGAGUGAAUUAGAAGUCUGUCAAAGGUGAUAUAGCAAAAUUAUUCUGCUCUUGUAUGCUUAUGAAUAAAUGCACCUAUUCUCAGCUUAAAAGUGGGAACAGAAUAACAAAAUUCUCCCCUAUCCUCUCAUAUUUAUAUUCAGUACUAUUUUGCCUUCUCAUUUAUAUCAAUUCUAUAUAUAAAUCUUCCCUUAUCCAGGGAAAUGUCUUACUCAUAAAAUUCUUGUUUCUGUUUAGCAAGAAUAUUCACCGUUCUAACAGCAAGGUUUCCAAAAGGAUAAUUCAAACAAACACUGAGAAGUUUCCAGGAAUUUUUAAUUGAAUCAGAACUGAUAAAAAUUAAUUAGCUACAUCUGUCCUCAUGACAGUCCUGAUGUGGGAACAAUAAUCAAAUGAAAACUCUGCCAACAGAAAUUGGCAGUGAUAAAGACUUACUGUAUCCCUCUCUCCAGUGUAAAUCCCCACUUCAAAGACAUUACAGAAAAUGAUGUUGCAAUGAGAUGGAUGGUAAGUGACCUGAUGUGCUUGGAAACAGACCAAUGCGUCUAGGAACAUCAAGGUUUUUAAAAAGCAACAACGGGUAAAACUGGGAAUUAACAACACCUAAUGUCCCCUUGAUUGAACAAAGUCUUAAAGGCAUCAUGCUUCACAGAGUGAACAAUACAUUGUCAGCACAUUUAAAUAGUGAAGGAAGACUUGUGUUUAUGCACUUCUGUUAUACAGAUAACAGAAGAAGUGUAAGGGUGGAGAAUCAUAAGGAUGGAAACUGAUUUGUAGCUGAUCGUUAACAAAGAAAAUUAUGCAACCAUACUUUCUGCUGUCCUAUCCAAUUUAUGGUUUUAAUCCUUAAGAUUUCCCUCAGUGCUGCCAGGGAAUUCUACUGUAUUCUCUUUUCCACCUUAAAAUGCAUGAGUGUAUUUGCACUUAGGACCCAUGCUUGGUUUCAUGCAUAGCUUUCAUAGACUUAAGGGGUGUUUUUUAACAAUUUAUUAAUAGGACUCUCACAUUUUGUGUUGCCUAUGCUAGUCAAAUCUCUGUAUUCCUCUACUGCUGCUGCUGCUAAGUCGCUCCAGUAGUGUCCGACUCUUUGCGACCCCAUAGACGGCAGCCCACCAGGCUCCCCCG
RNAcentral lists this long non-coding RNA (1513 nucleotides) under Capra hircus (goat). Its description in RNAcentral is "lncRNA (ENSCHIG00010001125.1)". The record is from RNAcentral. Lineage: Eukaryota; Metazoa; Chordata; Mammalia; Artiodactyla; Bovidae.